UGGGGAAUAUUGCACAAUGGGCGGAAGCCUGAUGCAGCGACGCCGCGUGAGGGACGAAGGCCUUCUGGGUUGUAAACCUCUUCAGCAGGGACGAAGCGAAAGUGACGGUACCUGCAGAAGAAGCACCGGCCAACUACGUGCCAGCAGCCGCGGUAAUACGUAGGGUGCAAGCGUUGUCCGGAAUUAUUGGGCGUAAAGAGCUCGUAGGCGGUUCGUCGCGUCGGCUGUGAAAUCCCGGAGCUCAACUCCGGGUCUGCAGUCGAUACGGGCGGACUUGAGUUCGGCAGGGGAGACUGGAAUUCCUGGUGUAGCGGUGAAAUGCGCAGAUAUCAGGAGGAACACCGGUGGCGAAGGCGGGUCUCUGGGCCGAUACUGACGCUGAGGAGCGAAAGCGUGGGGAGCGAACAGGAUUAGAUACC
Molecule: ribosomal RNA, 419 nt
Filed under: uncultured bacterium
Lineage: Bacteria
Description: bacterial SSU rRNA
Rfam family: Bacterial small subunit ribosomal RNA
Source: RNAcentral